Molecule: ribosomal RNA, 75 nt
Filed under: uncultured Enterobacteriaceae bacterium
Lineage: Bacteria; Pseudomonadati; Pseudomonadota; Gammaproteobacteria; Enterobacterales; Enterobacteriaceae
Description: partial 16S ribosomal RNA
Source: RNAcentral
UGGUCUUGACAUCCACGGAAGUUUUCAGAGAUGAGAAUGUGCCUUCGGGAACCGUGAGACAGGUGCUGCAUGGCU